Molecule: long non-coding RNA, 882 nt
Organism: Phymastichus coffea
Lineage: Eukaryota; Metazoa; Arthropoda; Insecta; Hymenoptera; Eulophidae
Exons: 7
Source: RefSeq, a predicted model, not a curated record
UAAAACGAUGAAACAAAAUGAAAGUUUACAAACUCAGCUAUUUUUACUGACUAACUUAACCUACUUUAAAAGCAAAAAUGGUAUACUCCAAAUAAAUGCAAAUGGAACUGUAUGGCAAAUAAAUGCAAAUGCAACUAAAGUGGAGUUAGGUGUAUGCUUUUUGCAUAAAAUAAGCUGCUCAUCUUGAUUGGCGGUGUGUUAACAGGUGCAGAGCAAUAUCAGGACAAGGCCGAACAUGUAUUCCUCGAAUCUUUGGAGUUGAGUUGGGUUGAGCUGGAUUGACUAAGGCUGGUAUUGAGACUGGAGCUGAGACGUUGGCAACAGCUCUGGCCAGUAAUAUGUCAGAAUGAAUUUGCCGGCAAUGCUUUACUAAGAACUUGUCAACCCUCAUCACUGUGUUUUCCAUUGAAGCCUUUAUGUCGCCAAUACAUGCCUCAGCUCUAGCUGAGAUUGCUACAUCAUGGGGAUUAUUGAAAAACUGUUGCAUUACAUUUGUCCAGCAAACAAAAUCUUUGGCUAAAUCUAUCAAUCUAUUAGCAAAAUCAGAUAGAGCUUGUGCAAUUGGUACUAUUUGAUCUCCUAUAUGAGUGCACAUUAUGGAUAAAAAAAUGUCACUGGAAUCUCCGUCAGGUCUAUUGAUUUUCAAUGCUAUCGAUGAUGUUGCAUCAAGGGCCACUGCAUUUCCCAACUCGUUCGCGAUAUCAUUGUAAACACUUAUUUGGGAAGGUGACCAAUAUGGAGUUAAAUAAAGGUACAAAAACAAACAAAGCCGACAAAAUUGAUGAACUGUUGAAGAAUGACCGGAAAUGAGCAACGACGACGGAAACCGUUGGAAAGCUUUUGACUCAUAAUGACGAGCAUGGUAUUUCUAUUGGUUCUUUC